RNAcentral lists this long non-coding RNA (214 nucleotides) under Vigna radiata. RNAcentral's name for it is "long non-coding RNA (VRAD_LNC012591)". Lineage: Eukaryota; Viridiplantae; Streptophyta; Magnoliopsida; Fabales; Fabaceae. The record is from RNAcentral.
CGUGGCGUAGGACCUCUCUCCGUUUUGAGAGAGUAAAGAGGAAAGGAGGAACUUUAAUGUGAAUGAUCAAAUGUCUCUAUCUGUUGGUGCCCCACAUAUCUCAGUCAUGUUGUCCUCAACCACAGCACUAGAUGCCUAUUCCAUCUCUCUAUCAUUGUAAGUCCUUUUCAGUUCCCUGUUUGCUAAAGAAGCUAUCAUCAUCAACACCUCCCUC